UACGUAGGGGGCAAGCGUUGUCCGGAAUUAUUGGGCGUAAAGGGCUCGUAGGCGGUCUGUUGCGUCGGGAGUGAAAACUCAGGGCUUAACCCUGAGCCUGCUUCCGAUACGGGCAGACUAGAGGUAUGCAGGGGAGAACGGAAUUCCUGGUGUAGCGGUGAAAUGCGCAGAUAUCAGGAGGAACACCGGUGGCGAAGGCGGUUCUCUGGGCAUUACCUGACGCUGAGGAGCGAAAGUGUGGGGAGCGAACAGG
RNAcentral lists this ribosomal RNA (253 nucleotides) under uncultured bacterium. Its description in RNAcentral is "partial 16S ribosomal RNA". It matches the Rfam family "Bacterial small subunit ribosomal RNA", at positions 524 to 776 of the family's 1533-position model. The record is from RNAcentral.